CAGCCGCCGCGGUAAUACGUAGGGUGCGAGCGUUAAUCGGAAUUACUGGGCGUAAACCGUGCGCAGGCGGUUAUAUAAGACAGAUGUGAAAUCCCCGGGCUCAACCUGGGACCUGCAUUUGUGACUGUAUAGCUAGAGUACGGUAGAGGGGGAUGGAAUUCCGCGUGUAGCAGUGAAAUGCGUAGAUAUGCGGAGGAACACCGAUGGCGAAGGCAAUCCCCUGGACCUGUACUGACGCUCAUGCACGAAAGCGUGGGGAGCAAACAGGAUUAGAUACCCCUGUAGUCCCUGUCUCUUAUAC
This 301-nucleotide ribosomal RNA is filed under the name uncultured bacterium. Its description in RNAcentral is "partial 16S ribosomal RNA". It matches the Rfam family "Bacterial small subunit ribosomal RNA", at positions 509 to 807 of the family's 1533-position model. The record is from RNAcentral.